This 280-nucleotide unclassified non-coding RNA is filed under the name uncultured fungus. RNAcentral describes it as "partial contains 5.8S ribosomal RNA, internal transcribed spacer 2, and large subunit ribosomal RNA". Lineage: Eukaryota; Fungi. The record is from RNAcentral.
AACGCAUCUUGCGCCCAGUGGUUAUUCCGUUGGGCAUGCCUGUCUGAGUGUCCUUAUUCUUCUCAGCCCCUACUUUUUGUCAUGAAGAGUACGGGGUCUGGAACCUGAGUGCCGGUUUUGUUACUAAAGCCCACUUGAAUGACAAGGUCCGACGCACAGAAGCGGCUUGACCGGGUGUUGUAAAGUCACCUCACUCGGAACGCUUCAGCGUUGGAAACUUAAUCAAAAGACAAUAAGCGAUUUUGACCUCAGAUCAGGUAGGAUUACCCGCUGAACUUAA